RNAcentral lists this transfer RNA (73 nucleotides) under Stegodyphus mimosarum. It matches the Rfam family "tRNA". From Rfam's summary of the family: Transfer RNA (tRNA) molecules are approximately 80 nucleotides in length. The record is from Rfam by way of RNAcentral. Lineage: Eukaryota; Metazoa; Arthropoda; Arachnida; Araneae; Eresidae.
GCCUUCGUGGUGUAGUGGUCAGUACGCUCGACGCGAAUUCGAGAGAUCCGCGGUUCGACUCCCGGCGAGGGCA